UACGAAGGGGGCUAGCGUUGUUCGGAAUCACUGGGCGUAAAGCGCGCGUAGGCGGAUUUGCAAGUUGGGGGUGAAAGCCCGAGGCUCAACCUCGGAACUGCCCUCGAUACUGCAAAUCUCUAGUCCGAGAGAGGUGAGUGGAAUUCCUAGUGUAGAGGUGAAAUUCGUAGAUAUUAGGAAGAACACCAGUGGCGAAGGCGGCUCACUGGCUCGGUACUGACGCUGAGGCGCGAAAGCGUGGGGAGCAAACAGG
Molecule: ribosomal RNA, 253 nt
Filed under: uncultured bacterium
Lineage: Bacteria
Description: partial 16S ribosomal RNA
Rfam family: Bacterial small subunit ribosomal RNA
Source: RNAcentral